AAGAAGUCAGGCCGGAUUAAGCCAUAGUACGGUAAGAGCUAUGCUGCCUGUGAGCCCCGUCCAAGGACGUAAAAUGAAGUCAGGCCGAAAGCCACGGCUUGAGCAAACCGUGCUGCCUGUAGCUCCAUCGUGGGGAUGUAAAAACCUGGGAGGCUGCAACCCAUGGAAGCUGUACGCAUGGGGUAGCAGACUAGUGGUUAGAGGAGACCCCUCCCGAAACAUAACGCAGCAGCGGGGCCCAACACCAGGGGAAGCUGUACCCUGGUGGUAAGGACUAGAGGUUAGAGGAGACCCCCCGCAUAACAAUAAACAGCAUAUUGACG
RNAcentral lists this long non-coding RNA (323 nucleotides) under dengue virus type 1. RNAcentral describes it as "Dengue virus 1 partial sfRNA1". The stretch from base 233 to 304 matches the Rfam family "Flavivirus DB element". Lineage: Riboviria; Orthornavirae; Kitrinoviricota; Flasuviricetes; Amarillovirales; Flaviviridae. The record is from RNAcentral.